This 404-nucleotide long non-coding RNA is filed under the name Coturnix japonica (Japanese quail). Its description in RNAcentral is "lncRNA (ENSCJPG00005001221.1)". Lineage: Eukaryota; Metazoa; Chordata; Aves; Galliformes; Phasianidae. The record is from RNAcentral.
UCAUCCUGUGCUUGGCAAACUGUCAACAGAAAUUUCCCUCAAAGACUUGUUAAAUCAACAAUUAAUUUCUAGGCAAGGUCCAAAGUCUUCUUCAGAAAAGCCCAGACAUGUUGGCAGAAGCCCUUGAGAAAGAUUUAUACCUGCUUCAUGUUCGUGUUACUAUUUUCUCAUUAAAAGUUUAUACUGCCAACAGUAAAAAGUAGGAGAUCACUGCUUAAAAUGAAACCACUAAGUUGUUCUGCAUUCUGAAGGAUGAGUGCUUGGAGGUUCUCAAGGUUAUGAAUCCUAAAAUAUGCCACUAAGGAAUAACACUGCUCCUUCUUCUGGUAUGUUAGGAGAGAGAAAAGAUACUGACAAGGACUGGUCAGGAACCAACAGAAAGCUGAAUGGAAUAUGGGUGUAGA